AGUGAAUAGAUACCCUGGUAGUCCACGCCGUAAACGAUGAUUACUCGCUGUUGGCGAUACACAGUCAGCGGCUAAAGCAAAAGCAAUAAGUAAUCCACCUGGGGAGUACGGCCGCAAGGUUGAAACUCAAAGGAAUUGACGGGGGCCGGCACAAGCGGAGGAACGAUGUGGUUUAAUUUACGAUGAUACGCGAGGAACCGUUACCUGGGCGAUAAAAUAGUAGAGUGCAUGAGGUGGAAACGACUUCUUUCCUUCGGGUACGUCUUUGUCAAGGUAGCUGCAUGGUUGUCGUCAGCUCGUGCCGU
Molecule: ribosomal RNA, 305 nt
Filed under: uncultured bacterium
Lineage: Bacteria
Description: bacterial SSU rRNA
Rfam family: Bacterial small subunit ribosomal RNA
Source: RNAcentral